GGGUCCCUGGCGUAUUCGCCAGACAUUCAGUCCUCGAGCCGAUAUUAUCCAAUCGGGGGUUCCCGGCCUCUGCAGGUGUGCAUGUCCGGCACAGUCCGGAAAGCCUGAUGCAGUGCGGGGACCACCACCUUGAACCAUCGGGUUCAAGGGCAGUACUGUCAGCGGUAUGCCGGGAAUCCU
Molecule: non-coding RNA, 180 nt
Filed under: Halioglobus sp.
Lineage: Bacteria; Pseudomonadati; Pseudomonadota; Gammaproteobacteria; Cellvibrionales; Halieaceae
Description: 6S RNA
Rfam family: 6S / SsrS RNA
About the family: E. coli 6S RNA was the first non coding RNA to be sequenced, but its function was unknown until recently. It consists of 184 nucleotides that fold into an extended hairpin structure with a large single-stranded internal bulge. The 6S RNA specifically associates with RNA polymerase holoenzyme containing the sigma70 specificity factor.
Source: RNAcentral